Long non-coding RNA from Canis lupus familiaris (dog), 1213 nucleotides. RefSeq lists it as uncharacterized. The transcript is spliced from 3 exons. Lineage: Eukaryota; Metazoa; Chordata; Mammalia; Carnivora; Canidae. The record is from RefSeq and is a predicted model, not a curated record.
UGUUUAUACCUGUGCAAGACUCAGGAAGGUAGAGACAGCCCACGUGUGUCCCAUAUGCCCUUUUCGGGAGGCUGGGCCCGCUGGGGGCAGUGUGCAUUCUCUCUGCUGCUCUCUCAGUCCUCAACAGAUGGGACCCUUUAGCCAGAGGGGGAACUCUCAGGGAGGACAGCAUGGUUCCUGAUAUGGGCAAAAGGCUGGAUACCCAUACCUGUUUCAUAACCGCCUCUGGCUGUAAACCUGAACACCGAUGCUUGACCUGUUAGACUUCUCUAAACUGAAAGUAAUAAAAACUCCUCACAGUCUGCAGUGUCAAAGAGAAUGGGGUGCCAUUCUCCAGUGGGAGAAGUCCCACAUUCCUAAUGUGGCAGAGGGAUCUACCUUUCUAAGGAUGAACUGCUAGCCUUUCCAAGAUGGAAGAGUUCUGAUGUAGUAACUCUAUUGUAGUUCGAAAUAAUUUCUCAUUUCCAUUAUGAUUUCCUCUUCAAUAAUGCAAAAUUCAAAGUUUAUUUCUUACCUUCCAAACAUAUUUUCUAGUUGUCUUUUUGUUAUUGAUUUCUACCUUAAUUGUUUUUGGAAAUUGUAUGCUCUAUUUCUAUUCCUUUAGUGGUUUCCCUAGAAAUUACAACAUGAAUAUUUAAUUAAUCAAAGUCUAAAAGUAAUCAAUACCUGUAUUGUCUUCUUAGACAAUAAAGGCCCUUAGAACACUUUAACCUCAAAUAUGUCAUUCUUGUUUGGACAGGUGGUAUUAUUGUAUGAGUUCAUUAACCCAAAGGAUAUUACUAUUGUUAUUUUAUAAAAAUGUCUUCUUAGAUUUAUCUAUGUACUUACCACUUUAUUUGGCUCUUUAUUUCUUUUGUCUUCUUGAGCAUUCUAUCUAGAAGUACUUUUCUUGUGCUCGAAGUAUACUCUUUAGAAUUUCCUUUACUGAAGAUUUAUGUGUGGCGAAGUGUCUCUGUUUUUGCUUUUCUUAAAAUAUCUUUAUUAUGCUUUUAUUCUUGAACAAUUACUAGUUGUAGAAUUCCUGUUGGCAAAUAUUCUCUUUUAGCAUGUUAAAGAUAUAAUUCCACUAUCUUCUGGCUUCCAAUGUUGCUGUUGAGAAGCUAACUGCCUGUUACUUAUUUUUAGUUAAUUUCUUUCUUAUCUCUGGAAGCUUUUAUGAUUUUUAAAAUUUAUUGUUUUCUUUGCAGUGCUGCUCUUUCAGUCUGAAUUUCUU